CCAACUGCCCCAGUAGUCAAUGCAACAGCUCCUCCAACAACCACAGCCAUCCCCACCACAACCACAGCUGCUCCCACAACACCCACAGCUGCUGCUACGCCAACUACAGCUGCUCCAUCAACAACCACAGCUACUCUGAUCAAAGUUACCACAACACCGGCACCUCCACCACCGGAGGUGAAGUUGGAGUUCAAAUUAGAGCAAAACUUCACGGCAGACUUGAAUAAUACAUCUUCAGCAGAGUUCCAUGCAUUAGCAACCAUUGUGGCUACAGCGUUGGACACAGUUUACCAAAACAAAUAUGGAUCCCGUUUCAAUCGCACAGAGGUCCUAGGUUUCAGUAAAGGUUCGGUUGUGGUAGACGCUAAGCUGAUAUUUAACAAUGCCAGCUCAGUCCCUGAGUCCAGUGCGGUGGUCACAACUUUGACAGAGAGUGUCUCAAGCAACAGCUCUAAUUUCUCUCUCCCAGUGAACACAGCUUCUAUCACGGCAACAAGAGCUGUGUCAACCCCAGCUCCAACUACUACUUCUACUCCGGUUCCUCCAAUGUCAACAACGUAUAUGGUCGUGCACGCAACGUCCACCCCUUUGAACAUGUCAACGCAGCACAUUACAGUGAAUGCAACUUCGGCCCCCUCAAACGUGUCAACUACAAACACGGUAGUUGACACGGUAGUCAACACAACAGCCCCUGCAACGAACACAGUAGUCAAUGCAACGGCACCUCCAACUACACCAGUAGUCAGCGCAAAAGUUCCUCCAACUACUCCAGUAGUCAAUGCAACAGCUCCUCCAACUGCCCCAGUAGUCAAUGCAACAGCUCCUCCAACUGCCCCAGUAGUCAAUGCAACAGCUCCUCCA
Oncorhynchus masou masou (cherry salmon) is the source of this 861-nucleotide long non-coding RNA. RefSeq lists it as uncharacterized. The record is from RefSeq and is a predicted model, not a curated record. Lineage: Eukaryota; Metazoa; Chordata; Actinopteri; Salmoniformes; Salmonidae. The transcript has 4 exons.